UUUGCCUCCUCUUUUGCCAGUGCCGCAUCCCACGUCAGGUGAAGAAACUCCUGGGCGGUCGAUUCCACGUGCUGCUCAGUCCUCCCCAGAACGUAGCGCAUGGGUCCCAGGAUCUCUGGGACCUUACGCCGGCACCAGGGGGUUCCUGGAAGGGAGCACAGACCAUCUGACCGGCCUGGGACGCGGGUAAGACCCCAUCAGCAGGGAGAAGGCUCUUCCCAGCGGUGGUGUGCUGCGGUUUGUUCGGAUGCUGCCUACGCAAGGCGUGUGGUGACCCCAGCGCUGUAGUCAGCAAGUUUCCAAAGUCUCAGGCUAGUAGUGGAAGAGCUGACUGAGGCGCAGGCACCUGCACGGAUCGGCCUUGCCCCUGCACGUCUGCUGCUUUCCCAAGAAGCACUAGCAGCCUUGUGACCAGCGACAGUGAGUCCUGAUGUGGUUUUGGGGAGUUAUUGCUUGGAUAAUGUCCUUGUUCCUUAACCUACAGCGCGUAAUUCUGAAUUCGGCUGGAAAGAGACCUUCCAAAACGGCAGUCUUCCUCACUCCAAGAAGCUGCGUUUUAUGAACCUUCCUCAGACGGAUCUCCGGGGUGAAGUCAUCAGCAACAGGACUGCUGGCUCUCUUUAGAACCACCAGCCAACCAAAGUCCAUUCCCUUCCACGGAGCCCAGCACAGCAGGUCUUGGAAAGGCUGGUGGCACCGCUGGGCUUUGGGUUCUCGCUUGUGCGAGUCGAGACGUCACAGAAGCGUGUUCCCCUGUGCGCGGCAGUGCAGCCGCCCGCGUUAGCGAGCCUGCCUGUCCUUCUGGUCACCCGAUGAUGGGCUGCAGCGCUGGACUCUGUCUUUAUUUUUAAUGUUUUAUUUUUAAGUA
This 868-nucleotide long non-coding RNA is filed under the name Columba livia (rock pigeon). RNAcentral describes it as "partial uncharacterized LOC106146023". The record is from RNAcentral. Lineage: Eukaryota; Metazoa; Chordata; Aves; Columbiformes; Columbidae.